Marmota flaviventris (yellow-bellied marmot) is the source of this 1069-nucleotide non-coding RNA. NCBI's taxonomy places the organism in Eukaryota, Metazoa, Chordata, Mammalia, Rodentia, Sciuridae. The record is from RefSeq and is a predicted model, not a curated record.
AUAGCCUGGACACGACAGUAACCGCUGGACCUCUCAGGAGACAGACUGAAAACUGUGUGUGCGUGCUAGGGUCUCUGUGAUGGACAUGGAGGGAGGAGGGAGACAGCCCCAUGGGGUGAGGUUGCCUCUGAGACUUGAGUAACAUUGUUUCAAAUCUUAAAAUCCCUUGGAGCUUGCUGCCAAAAUGUGUCUGAAAGUGUCUCAAACGUGAAAAAAGCCGAGGACCUCUGACACAGUGGCUUGGACGCUCUGGCUGUCAACUUGAGCAGAUGUUGGUUCAUCCUGUGUCCACCCCUUCUGUCUGUCCUGGGAUCCAGACAGGACUCCAGCCCUUGCCAGGGUGCUGCGGGGACACGCUCAGGAAAGCACACUGUCCAGCACCCGGCACACCGCAAACCCAGCGGGGAUGUGGCCGAUUUUCAUUUCUCCUUUAUAUGUCCCCCUUCCAUAUUUUCUAGGAUGAGGCAUUUGUUUUACCAUCAGAAUGAAGACAAACAUUGAAAGAAGACGCAGCUGGUCACAUAGGUGGCUUUGUCAUUGAUUGCUGUCUAACAAUUGUAGUGUAUUGAUUUAAGGCAAGACGUGCUUAGUGUCGACGGUUCCCGUGGGUUGGGAGUACAGAUAUGGCUCAGGGGGCCUCUGCCAGGGUCCUGAGGCUGCCGGCCAGGUGUCAGCCAAGCCGUGCCUCCGCUGGAGGCCUGACUGGGGAAAAUCGGCCCUAGGCUCACUUGAGUGGGCAGAAUUCAUUUCCUCAGGGCUGUGGGACGGAGGCCCCUCAGACCCAGAGGUCACCCGAGGCUUUUUGCGGUGGGUUUCCCCACAUGGCGCUUACCGUGUCAGCUGGCACAGAGCCCUGCUAGCAGGACAGAGCCUUACUCAUGUGGCCGGAUGACGGCCUGGCCUCCUGGCACCUUUGCCACCUUCUUGGUUCAAAGCCAAGUCACAGAGCUGCUCACCCUCCAGAGAGGGGCUUAUGCAGGAGUGAAGACCAAGGGCAGCCAUGGGUGCUCCUGAGAGUCUGUCCUCCAUGGUAGGUCGACCUUUUUGAAAUAAAUGUCAGAGUCCUAAA